RNA transcript from Trifolium pratense (red clover), 3330 nucleotides. It is a transcript of the gene named probable lysine-specific demethylase ELF6, with no coding region annotated. The transcript has 8 exons. The record is from RefSeq and is a predicted model, not a curated record. Lineage: Eukaryota; Viridiplantae; Streptophyta; Magnoliopsida; Fabales; Fabaceae.
UUCGUUUUGUGUCACAUAUUAGGAACAAACAAGGUCCAUGGGAAGGGUGUGUGGUAUCAAUGUUGUUAAAACUUCAAAUGCCAUUGAAUGAUUGUGAUUAUGAGAAUAAUUUUAAAUUUUUUGUUAUGCCUAUAAAACCCCACCUUGAACCGUUAACGUUUGUUGAAUUGAAUCUUUAACAAUUUGGAUCAAUGGUUCAAAACAUCCAAUCCAAGCACGUACAACUUACAACUAUGUUCUUGUCCUUUUGGGAGGAUCAAUAAACCUUACAAUACGAUACGCCCAAAGUGCUACUGUAGAUUGCACAUUUGGGUGUUUUGCGUAACCGCUUUCCUUCUUCCGUUCCCUUUUCGCCUUUUGCCAGCCGGUUGCUUUUCCGCUUUCCCUCCGCCAGCCUUUUGGUCCGCCAGCCUUUUAGUCUUCAGGCUUUUCAAUCUUCCUUUUGCGUUUUGUUUGUCCUGGUGCGUCCUUGUUUUUGCUAUAUAUAUGGCUUCGUUUCUGGUGGUUUUCUCAUCAUCUCACUCUCUCCUCUUUUUGUUUCUUCCUGUAUUCGUUUUUGCUAUGCAAUCGGUGAUGGCUUUUAGGUCUGGGUUUGAUUGUUUGUCCGAUGUUGUUCCUGGGAGAACUGCUUGGGGGUUCAAGAUCCGGAUUUCUAAGCUUUUGGAGGUUCAAGAUCCAGAUUUCUAAGCUUUGGGAGGUUGUUUUAUUCUACUUCGGUUGAAAUGGUUCUUGUUGAUACUAAGAGGAGUUUAUGUCCGACCUAUUUGUGCAUACAAGAUUAACUUUCGUUUCAGACUGCAGUUAACAUGACGAUCGAGUUGCGCUUCCAUGGUUAAAGUUACACUAUAGACCAUCUGGUACCAUUCUUGCUUUUGAUUGUUUGCUCUAAAUCUCCAGGUACGUCACGUCGUUUGGGUUAUUCAUUCAUUCAUUCAUUCUUCAAUCUGAUAGAAAAUCAUGAAAUUUAUCAGAGUAUUUAUGUUUGUAUUUCGUAUACCUUGAACUGUGUCGCGGUCUUCUAAGGAGAAGAGUUCAGAUGCCUACAAUGAUUUGCAAGGCACUGCUGGUUGGAAACUUUCAAAUAGUCCUUGGAAUUUGCAAGUUGUUGCUCGCGCUUCAGGCUCACUAACACGUUUCAUGCCAGACGAUAUUCCCGGUGUUACUUCACCUAUGAUAUACAUUGGCAUGUUGUUCAGUUGGUUUGCCUGGCAUGUAGAGGAUCAUGAGCUUCACAGCUUGAAUUUUCAUCACACUGGCUCAUCUAAGACUUGGUAUUCUGUUCCUGGAAAUUAUGCCUUUGCUUUUGAGGAAGUCAUCCGUACAGAGGGUUAUGGUGGUGAUAUUGAUCAAUUAGCUGCUUUGAAACUUUUGGGCGAGAAAACAACUCUUUUAUCACCUGAGGUAAUUGUUGCAUCUGGGAUUCCUUGUUGCAGGUUAGUACAGAACCCUGGUGAAUUUGUGGUGACUUUUCCAAGAGCUUAUCAUGUAGGAUUCAGCCAUGGUAAUUGCUUUGAAGUUUAUGUACAUUCCUGAUAUUUUGCAUAAUACUGUUAAUGUUAUAGGUUUUUACUCUGUAUAUGAUGGAGUGAUAAUACAGACAUUUCUAUAAUGUGUGCUAUAUAGAGCUGUUUGACAUACGGUACAUGACAAAUCACAUACAUAUUCACGGUUUCAAUUAAAGUGCUCGUGGUUUGUAGAUUUUUUUUUAAUAUCUGUAUAUUCUGUGAUAUGCGAUAAGAAGAAUUAGGAGACAACUUUUAUUGGCCAAUGGCCUUCAAAUUCUGAAAGCAAAUGGUUAAAAGUAGAAUGUGUUGGUCAUUUAUAUAUCCUCUAGCCAGUUAGUGUUUAAUCAAAACUGGUGGCAGAUCCAAUUUUUCUUUAUAACAAUACCAAUAUAUCCUUUAGGUGGGUGAAAUGGUAGAAUUCUUUAGGCACAACUUGUGAUCACAAAGUGGCUGUUAAACUAUUUUCAUCAGAUAGCUAUAAAACCAAUGAUGCUCCAUGGUAGCGAAUUUUGGGCUAUCUAGAUACUAGAUACUACCAUGCUACAAAACCAAUGAUGCUCCAUAGUAGUUACUAUUGUCACAAAGUUGCAAUUAUGGUAGCGAAUUUGCAUGGUAGUAUCUUUUAAACUAUUGUCAAAAAGUUGUCAAAGACGCAAUUCAAGUCGAAAAGUUGCAAUUAUGAUUCGGAAAGAUUGAGUUCUGAGGAUCAGGUUGUAGCUGGGAAUGGUUCUCGUAAUUCGAGAAUAUAUAGGUUUGUAUUUGGGCCAAGUUCUAAUGGUGAUGGUGAAGAUGCUGAUGGAGAUUUAGUGGAGCGUGCUGAGAUUGCAGCCAAGUUGUUGGAGUUAAGGUGGUCUACGAAUCUCACUUUUGAUGAACUUCCAUAUAGGGAAAGAAAGAAAACUCAGGGGGCUAACUUGGUCAAAGUGAAAUCCAAGUCUGAAUCUGGUGAGGUUUUGCGCCCCCGACAGAAUCAUCUGAGCAGGAGGAUUUCAAUUCAUGGAAUUUCUGGAAGUUGCCUUCUUUCGAAUAAAUAUUCUAGGAUUUUUUGGCAUUCAUUGCUCAAUCAUCUUUGUCUGGUGCGGAUGGAAGCAGGCUGUGCUGUUCCUUGUAAAACUAUAUAGGAAUUUUGUAGGAAGGAAAGAUGAUUGUAUCUAGACUUAGGUGGUUUGAGUGUAUGUAGUCAAUGACAGACACACUCUCCGGGAUUUCGGUACAACUCCUCCACGACUGCGCUAUGGCCGUUAUGUAGAUCCACUCUACCAUGGAGUUUUGCGUAGCACCAGACAUCCGCUACACCAUGCACCUCUGUGAAUACGGCCGCCACCACUGCUAUUGACUACAGAGGUUUGAGUAUGUGUGGAGGAGACCUGUAGAUUUAGUAGUAACAAGAGUAGAUCAGAUGGAGCACAACCUAAUGGCUACAAGGGAAGGCUGAGACAAACUAUAGGUGAAAUUAAGAAGAAAUACUUAGAUGCUAAUUGUGUGGCUGUCAACAUAAUUUAUAUGAUAAAACAUUAUGGCGUCGUUUUAUCUAAGUAUCUGACCUUACAUAGUAGGAUAAAGCUUUGAUUGUUGUUGAUAUUUCUGUUAGAUGUGUAUAGUGUGCGACUAAUUUUGAAUACGCCAUACACCAAAAUUAGAACUUACACCAUAAAAGAUGAUUUUCAUGUACUGGUCUUAAUAUCCUGGACUGGACUACUUGUAAAACAGUUAUGCAUAUUAAGACAUUUGUAUGCCAGCUUUGCAUCCACGUACAUGCUUCUUCAUUUUGAUAAACAUUGUUCAUAUAGGUGAUGUGUUGCUAAGCUCCAUGACAAGAGUAUCA